GGGCAACCGAGUAUAGCAGUCCUACAAUUAGGGACGAGCAUGGCAAUAUGGAGAUCUCGGCUAGAUUGGGUAUUGUGAUUAGUUCAUCUAGAUCUUCCAGACAAAGAUCCUCUAUGAUGGCCUAGUCCAUUGAAUCGGCCCAUCUCAAAAGUAGCCCAAGCCUACAUGGAAAGAAAAAGAAUUUGAAGAAGACUCCCUUCCUCAAAAAAUCUGAAUGGGAGUCAGAAAACAUGUGGCCACCUGAGAGAGAGGAGCUUAGGGCUUUUCUAUAAGAACCCCCACCAGGGCCCUCCAGUAAAGAGCAUCGUACCUCCUCUUCUUUCUUUCUCUAACUUUUCUCCCUCAGGCUCACCAAUUACUAGCAUUAUGCCCAC
Molecule: long non-coding RNA, 374 nt
Filed under: Elaeis guineensis (African oil palm)
Lineage: Eukaryota; Viridiplantae; Streptophyta; Magnoliopsida; Arecales; Arecaceae
Description: long non-coding RNA (EGUI_LNC034453)
Source: RNAcentral